This 252-nucleotide ribosomal RNA is filed under the name uncultured bacterium. RNAcentral's name for it is "partial 16S ribosomal RNA". It matches the Rfam family "Bacterial small subunit ribosomal RNA", at positions 524 to 776 of the family's 1533-position model. The record is from RNAcentral.
UACGUAGGUCCCGAGCGUUGUCCGGAUUUAUUGGGCGUAAAGCGAGCGCAGGUGGUUUAUUAAGUCUGGUGUAAAAGGCAGUGGCUCAACCAUUGUAUGCAUUGGAAACUGGUAGACUUGAGUGCAGGAGAGGAGAGUGGAAUUCCAUGUGCAGCGGUGAAAUGCGUAGAUAUAUGGAGAAACACCGGUGGCGAAAGCGGCUCUCUGGCCUGUAACUGACACUGAGGCUCGAAAGCGUGGGGAGCAAACAGG